GUGCUUGCUUCGGCAGCACAUAUACUAAAAUUGGAACGAUACAUAGAAGAUUAGCAUGGCCCCUGCGCAAGGGUCCAUUAGAAAGGCCAUUAGCAUGGCCUCACGCAAAUUUGUGAAGCAUUCCAUAUUUUU
RNAcentral lists this small nuclear RNA (132 nucleotides) under Cervus elaphus hippelaphus. The record is from RNAcentral. Lineage: Eukaryota; Metazoa; Chordata; Mammalia; Artiodactyla; Cervidae.